AACGAACGCUGGCGGCAGGCUUAACACAUGCAAGUCGAACGGGUGCAGCAAUGCAUCAGUGGCAGACGGGUGAGUAACACGUGGGAACCUUCCUAGGGGUACGGAACAACUCAGGGAAACUUGAGCUAAUACCGUAUACGUCCGUAAGGAGAAAGAUUCAUCGCCCCUAGACGGGCCCGCGUCGGAUUAGGUAGUUGGUGGGGUAACGGCCUACCAAGCCUACGAUCCGUAGCUGAUCUGAGAGGAUGAUCAGCCACACUGGGACUGAGACACGGCCCAGACUCCUACGGGAGGCAGCAGUGGGGAAUCUUGGACAAUGGGCGCAAGCCUGAUCCAGCCAUGCCGCGUGAGUGAAGAAGGCCUUAGGGUUGUAAAGCUCUUUUACCAGGGACGAUAAUGACGGUACCUGGAGAAUAAGCCCCCGGCAAACUUCGU
RNAcentral lists this ribosomal RNA (435 nucleotides) under uncultured bacterium. RNAcentral's name for it is "bacterial SSU rRNA". It matches the Rfam family "Bacterial small subunit ribosomal RNA", at positions 29 to 506 of the family's 1533-position model. The record is from RNAcentral.